GGAAGGGUGGCCGAGUUGGUUGUGGCGCCAGGUUAAGGUCCUGGUGGGGCAACCCGCGCGAGUUCGAGUCUCGUCCCUUUCA
Molecule: transfer RNA, 82 nt
Filed under: Colletotrichum orbiculare MAFF 240422
Lineage: Eukaryota; Fungi; Ascomycota; Sordariomycetes; Glomerellales; Glomerellaceae
Description: tRNA-Leu (AAG) (tRNA-Leu-AAG-4-1)
Rfam family: tRNA
About the family: Transfer RNA (tRNA) molecules are approximately 80 nucleotides in length. Their secondary structure includes four short double-helical elements and three loops (D, anti-codon, and T loops).
Source: RNAcentral